RNAcentral lists this non-coding RNA (148 nucleotides) under Homo sapiens (human). Lineage: Eukaryota; Metazoa; Chordata; Mammalia; Primates; Hominidae. The record is from Rfam by way of RNAcentral.
GCUGGGCGUGGUGGCGGGUGCCUGUAAUCCCAGCUACUCAGGAGGCUGAGGCAGGAGAAUUGCUUGAACCCAGGAGGCGGAAGUUGCAGUGAGCUGAGAUCGCGCCACUGCACUCCAGCCUGGGCGACAGAGCGAGACCCUGUCUCAA